AAAGUCGUAACAAGGUCUCCGUUGGUGAACCAGCGGAGGGAUCAUUACCGAGUUUACAACUCCCAAACCCCUGUGAACAUACCUUAUGUUGCCUCGGCGGAUCAGCCCGCGCCCCGUAAAAAGGGACGGCCCGCCGCAGGAACCCUAAACUCUGUUUUUAGUGGAACUUCUGAGUAUAAAAAACAAAUAAAUCAAAACUUUCAACAACGGAUCUCUUGGUUCUGGCAUCGAUGAAGAACGCAGCAAAAUGCGAUAAGUAAUGUGAAUUGCAGAAUUCAGUGAAUCAUCGAAUCUUUGAACGCACAUUGCGCCCGCCAGUAUUCUGGCGGGCAUGCCUGUUCGAGCGUCAUUUCAACCCUCAAGCCCAGCUUGGUGUUGGGAGCUGCAGUCCUGCUGCACUCCCCAAAUACAUUGGCGGUCACGUCGAGCUUCCAUAGCGUAGUAAUUUACAUAUCGUUACUGGUAAUCGUCGCGGCCACGCCGUUAAACCCCAACUUCUGAAUGUUGACCUCGGAUCAGGUAGGAAUACCCGCUGAACUUAAGCAUAUCAAUAAG
This 555-nucleotide ribosomal RNA is filed under the name Fusarium culmorum. RNAcentral's name for it is "eukaryotic LSU rRNA". The stretch from base 196 to 349 matches the Rfam family "5.8S ribosomal RNA". The record is from RNAcentral. Lineage: Eukaryota; Fungi; Ascomycota; Sordariomycetes; Hypocreales; Nectriaceae.